AAUAAGUUUAUUUGUGGGUUUUUGUGCUUAACAUUUGACUGUCCGUCUUAUUUUAAAUUUUUUAUGAUUAGUAUUAUUGUUGUUAUUAGAUGAUAAAAUAUGAAUAUUACUUUAUACAUGACUUAUUUUUGUUAGAUUUUUCAUUAUUAGAUUUUUUAUUAAUUUUUCAAAUAAGAUAGACGGUCAAACAUCGUAUACAAAAACCCAAUGUUAAAAUGAAC
MicroRNA precursor from Oryza sativa Indica Group (long-grained rice), 221 nucleotides. It matches the Rfam family "MIR812 microRNA precursor family". Lineage: Eukaryota; Viridiplantae; Streptophyta; Magnoliopsida; Poales; Poaceae. The record is from Rfam.